ACGAUUUAUCGUAUUGAGACCAAACCUGGUACAUGUCAUAACAAGCAUGACUUGAGGCUACUUGCUGCGUUUCGGCGCAGCGCCACCUACUGGUCCGGAGAUAUGGAAAAUUGCUAUUUUUGCUUAUAACUUCUAAACAGUUUGUCCAAAAAUCAUAACAUUGGUCUUGUUAGAUUCAGGGCAACAUGCCGAGUCGACUGAUAUCCAAUUUUACCAUCUCGGCCAUUUUGACUGUCGGCCAUUUUGAAUUUUGUGCUAAAAUGCUGUAUUUUCAGAACGCAUCAACAGAUUGUUACGAAACAUGGUAUGGGUCAUCAGUACAAUGUCCUGAAGGAGCGUGAGAAGUUUCGAAACAGCGCCACCUAGUGGUGAUCAUCCUUAUUUAAAUGCUUAUAACCUUGGGUGUGGUCGACUUAUUUUCUCGAGACUCACCAAAUUGGACUCCUGAAACCUUACCGAGUCCAACGAUACCAAACAUUCUAGGUUUCGCCUUACGGUUUGUGUAGCGUUGUGAUUUAGCGCUUAAAAAACAUCUGGCUAUAUCUUUGAAACCGCUUGUCUGAUCGAGACGAAACCACCGUCAGAAGUUCGGAAACAUAGGUCGAUAGCUAUACGCCAAUGCCCAAAUGCCAAAAUAUUGAUAGUAAGGGGUAGUAAUAUUCAAUCAAAGUCAAGAGUCAGUCAUUUUUUACGUGCUUUUUCAUAUAAAUGUCUAUAACUCUGAAGUGAAUUGAGAUAUUUUCACCAAAAUUGACACACAUAUGUAUGGGCUCACUCUGAGCACACAUAAAAAAAAUGGUGGGACUGAGCCUCUUGGUGGCGCUAUAAUAGAACAAAACAUGAAAUUCUCAUUGACUUCAAUACAGUUUUGUGAAAUAAAAUGCUAUACUAAACAAAUGCAUUGGUGUAAUAUUACGAAACUCAGAAUGUGCCAACAACACCAUCCCCUGAAGGUACUCAAAAUAUUUUGAAACACCGCCACCUAGUGGUCAACAGUUAUAACUCAAUUUAAAUAAAGGCUAAUAACUUUUGAAUAAAUCUGGCUAUUGACAUGACGCUGGUCUUUUUAGAUUCCUUGGGUCAAGUCGAGAACAUAGAUACAAAGUUUUCCUUAUUUGGCUGAACUUCCUGUCCGCCAUUUUGAUUAAUGUUGAAAACUUACUUUUUCGAACUCCUCCUAGACCGUUAGUCAGAUUUUCACCAAAUUUGACGUGGAUCAUCUUCAGACCAUGCUGGCAAAAUGUUAUGGAUUUCUUUUCGAUAUACGAAACUGUUCUCAUUUAGCGCAUCAACGAAGCUGCUGGAAGGGUUCCAAAAUGCAUUUGAGGAUGUAUCUCAGCAAAGCUUUGACAUAUUUGCACCAAACUUUGUAUGUGUCAUCGUCACCUCACACUGACCAUUCCAAACUAAUUUGGUAACAACGCCACCUAUUGGUUACACGUGAUAAGCAAAUAAAUCGUAUUACUAGUUGUUGUGUUUAUUGUUUUCAAGCCAUUUUGCCUAAAAUAAUCUUAAAACUUUCUUAAUUACUCAUUCCUGCCGUUCGUCUGAAGCUUGCUUCUGUAGUGCUUGGCCCCGUUAUUGCUGCUUGCAGCUAUAUUUAUUAUUAUUCUUCUUCUUCCACCCCAAGUCUAUGGUAGCCCAUAGAACCGAUUGCGGGAAAGUUGUAUAAUUUGGCACACUAAUAGAGGACUGUCUGAACAUUAACCGUAGCAAAUUUGAAGUCUCUAACUCCAACUCUCUAGCGCCACCAAUUGUCUAAACUUUCAAAAACUUGAUGCUAAUAACUCUUGAACCGUAAGCCACAAAAUGAAAAUUCUUUUUUCCUGUGAUUCCUUGGCUCAUGCCGAGUCGAAUGGACACCGAAAUUCAAAAAUCGCAAGGCUUAGUUUUUUCGCUAUCGUCAAUUGUUCGUAAAACCUACUUUUUCGAACUCGUCCUAGGCCGUUGCACCGAUUGUCACGAAAAUUGAAUCAGAUAAUCUUCAGACCAUGCUGGCAAAAAGUUAUGGAAUUCAAGUUGAUUUCUCAAACCGUUUCCGAAUAGCUCAUGAACGAAUUCUUCGAAAAGCACGCAAACGUGAACGUGAGGCUAUAUCUCCGCAACGGUUUGGCCUAUUGAGACCAAUCUUGGUGGGUCUUAUAACAAC
Long non-coding RNA from Carassius gibelio (silver crucian carp), 2149 nucleotides. RefSeq lists it as uncharacterized. The transcript is spliced from 3 exons. The record is from RefSeq and is a predicted model, not a curated record. Lineage: Eukaryota; Metazoa; Chordata; Actinopteri; Cypriniformes; Cyprinidae.